AACAAGAAGAAAACACGGGAAAGACUGCAGAGGCUUCUAUAUGCGCUCUCUUAACUCCACUGCAUAAAAUAUUGUAACGAAACUAGAGACGUUUGCGUAACCCACGUCCUCCCUGGCCAUUCUCCAGGCAGGCGCAGCAGCCGGGACAGAGACUUAUCACCAGCCCCGCCGCUGACGCCCGCGCCCGGACCACGCGACGGAGCUUUCCCGCGGGCCCUGCGGGCCACGUGGCCGGGGCGCUCGGGGCAGCACCGGCGGGAACGAGGCGACCCCGCCACGCAGCCAGCAAAUUCUCCUGAAGAUCAUUCAAAAUGCUGCUGAUAGGAUCAUCUUCCUAGAUUGUCAUUCUGACUAUGUCAUCCCCCUUCAUCUUUGUGGCUUACCCCCUAGUGACGACUUCUUCUCCAGUGCACAAGCUUGUUGUCUUCUUCUUUAAGCCCUUUGAAGCAAUCCCCAUGAAGAGGUGCACAUAUAUUGAUUCAAAUUGGAUUCUCCAGAGACCAACAGACAAAGAAUGGACUUCUGAAUAAAUAGCUGGGUUUUAAACUGGCUCAGGGCCUUCUUCCUGAUCCAGCAAAUUGACAGGACUUCUGAUCACCGGAGGGCCCCAAUUCUUAGGGAAGGGUUGGAACAUCUUGGCCUACUGAGACCCCAUAAGAGUGUGUGCUUGUUCUGGGCUGGAGCUGUGAUGGACUUGUGAGCACAAAGGAAACCCUGGAGGUGGGGUAUUGAAGGACUUCUCCUUCCAGAGUCCAUUUUAGAGUUGGAAUGGUGUCUGGUAAGCUUAUUAGCAUGCAGAUAGGUUCUUUCAUUGUUUUUAAUAGGCUUUCUUUGUCGUGCUUUUACCUGAAGAAUAAAAUAGGCUUGCAUGGAAA
Molecule: long non-coding RNA, 875 nt
Organism: Dermochelys coriacea (leatherback sea turtle)
Lineage: Eukaryota; Metazoa; Chordata; Testudines; Dermochelyidae
Exons: 3
Source: RefSeq, a predicted model, not a curated record